This 425-nucleotide ribosomal RNA is filed under the name uncultured bacterium. RNAcentral describes it as "partial 16S ribosomal RNA". It matches the Rfam family "Bacterial small subunit ribosomal RNA", at positions 354 to 796 of the family's 1533-position model. The record is from RNAcentral.
GUAGGGAAUCUUGCGCAAUGGGCGAAAGCCUGAUGCAGCCAUGCCGCGUGAAUGAUGAAGGUCUUAGGAUUGUAAAAUUCUUUCACCGGGGACGAUAAUGACGGUACCCGGAGAAGAAGCCCCGGCUAACUUCGUGCCAGCAGCCGCGGUAAUACGAAGGGGGCUAGCGUUGCUCGGAAUUACUGGGCGUAAAGGGAGCGUAGGCGGAUAGUUUAGUCAGAGGUGAAAGCCCAGGGCUCAACCUUGGAAUUGUCUUUGAUACUGGCUAUCUUGAGUAUGGAAGGGGUAUGUGGAACUCCGAGUGUAGAGGUGAAAUUCGUAGAUAUUCGGAAGAACACCAGUGGCGAAGGCGACAUACUGGUCCAUUACUGACGCUGAGGCUCGAAAGCGUGGGGAGCAAACAGGAUUAGAAACCCCUGUAGUCC